AUGCAGAAUAAACAGAAGCACACGAUCAAGAGUGUGUCUAACUCCUCUCUUCUGGAAAUGACGUGUCUUGAAAUGCUUGAUCUGACAGUCGCGCCCUCUCAAGAAAGAAGUAUCACAGAGGAAAGGCAAGUACAUUUAAUGAGCUCGGUUCACUGCUGGGUCACACCAGAGCAGAAGGACGAGACCUCCAUUGCUGGGAAGACCACCCAGAGAGGAGAAAGCUGCGCUUGCCCAGGAGGGAGAGCAAUUGUAUGGACAGGAAAGCAGGAAAGUACCUUUGAUAUCCAGGAGUCCAGAGGUGCUUACUUUCAGGAUGAAGGCCUGGCACAGCAUCUUCUGUCAUCACUGGGAGCCUUUCCUCUGACUUACAGAAAGGAGAGACUUAGGGACCAGUUGGUUAGGAGAAACAAAAGAGGAAAGAAGAGAGAGAGAGAUAAGGAGAAUAAUGAAGAAAAGAAAAAAAAGUAAACAAGAAG
RNAcentral lists this long non-coding RNA (476 nucleotides) under Zonotrichia albicollis (white-throated sparrow). Its description in RNAcentral is "lncRNA (ENSZALG00000014508.1)". Lineage: Eukaryota; Metazoa; Chordata; Aves; Passeriformes; Passerellidae. The record is from RNAcentral.